This 2908-nucleotide ribosomal RNA is filed under the name Staphylococcus aureus. Its description in RNAcentral is "partial 23S ribosomal RNA". It matches the Rfam family "Bacterial large subunit ribosomal RNA". Lineage: Bacteria; Bacillati; Bacillota; Bacilli; Caryophanales; Staphylococcaceae. The record is from RNAcentral.
GGCGCACGGUGGAUGCCUUGGCACUAGAAGCCGAUGAAGGACGUUACUAACGACGAUAUGCUUUGGGGAGCUGUAAGUAAGCUUUGAUCCAGAGAUUUCCGAAUGGGGAAACCCAGCAUGAGUUAUGUCAUGUUAUCGAUAUGUGAAUACAUAGCAUAUCAGAAGGCACACCCGGAGAACUGAAACAUCUUAGUACCCGGAGGAAGAGAAAGAAAAUUCGAUUCCCUUAGUAGCGGCGAGCGAAACGGGAAGAGCCCAAACCAACAAGCUUGCUUGUUGGGGUUGUAGGACACUCUAUACGGAGUUACAAAGGACGACAUUAGACGAAUCAUCUGGAAAGAUGAAUCAAAGAAGGUAAUAAUCCUGUAGUCGAAAAUGUUGUCUCUCUUGAGUGGAUCCUGAGUACGACGGAGCACGUGAAAUUCCGUCGGAAUCUGGGAGGACCAUCUCCUAAGGCUAAAUACUCUCUAGUGACCGAUAGUGAACCAGUACCGUGAGGGAAAGGUGAAAAGCACCCCGGAAGGGGAGUGAAAUAGAACCUGAAACCGUGUGCUUACAAGUAGUCAGAGCCCGUUAAUGGGUGAUGGCGUGCCUUUUGUAGAAUGAACCGGCGAGUUACGAUUUGAUGCAAGGUUAAGCAGUAAAUGUGGAGCCGUAGCGAAAGCGAGUCUGAAUAGGGCGUUUAGUAUUUGGUCGUAGACCCGAAACCAGGUGAUCUACCCUUGGUCAGGUUGAAGUUCAGGUAACACUGAAUGGAGGACCGAACCGACUUACGUUGAAAAGUGAGCGGAUGAACUGAGGGUAGCGGAGAAAUUCCAAUCGAACCUGGAGAUAGCUGGUUCUCUCCGAAAUAGCUUUAGGGCUAGCCUCAAGUGAUGAUUAUUGGAGGUAGAGCACUGUUUGGACGAGGGGCCCCUCUCGGGUUACCGAAUUCAGACAAACUCCGAAUGCCAAUUAAUUUAACUUGGGAGUCAGAACAUGGGUGAUAAGGUCCGUGUUCGAAAGGGAAACAGCCCAGACCACCAGCUAAGGUCCCAAAAUAUAUGUUAAGUGGAAAAGGAUGUGGCGUUGCCCAGACAACUAGGAUGUUGGCUUAGAAGCAGCCAUCAUUUAAAGAGUGCGUAAUAGCUCACUAGUCGAGUGACACUGCGCCGAAAAUGUACCGGGGCUAAACAUAUUACCGAAGCUGUGGAUUGUCCUUUGGACAAUGGUAGGAGAGCGUUCUAAGGGCGUUGAAGCAUGAUCGUAAGGACAUGUGGAGCGCUUAGAAGUGAGAAUGCCGGUGUGAGUAGCGAAAGACGGGUGAGAAUCCCGUCCACCGAUUGACUAAGGUUUCCAGAGGAAGGCUCGUCCGCUCUGGGUUAGUCGGGUCCUAAGCUGAGGCCGACAGGCGUAGGCGAUGGAUAACAGGUUGAUAUUCCUGUACCACCUAUAAUCGUUUUAAUCGAUGGGGGGACGCAGUAGGAUAGGCGAAGCGUGCGAUUGGAUUGCACGUCUAAGCAGUAAGGCUGAGUAUUAGGCAAAUCCGGUACUCGUUAAGGCUGAGCUGUGAUGGGGAGAAGACAUUGUGUCUUCGAGUCGUUGAUUUCACACUGCCGAGAAAAGCCUCUAGAUAGAAAAUAGGUGCCCGUACCGCAAACCGACACAGGUAGUCAAGAUGAGAAUUCUAAGGUGAGCGAGCGAACUCUCGUUAAGGAACUCGGCAAAAUGACCCCGUAACUUCGGGAGAAGGGGUGCUCUUUAGGGUUAACGCCCAGAAGAGCCGCAGUGAAUAGGCCCAAGCGACUGUUUAUCAAAAACACAGGUCUCUGCUAAACCGUAAGGUGAUGUAUAGGGGCUGACGCCUGCCCGGUGCUGGAAGGUUAAGAGGAGUGGUUAGCUUCUGCGAAGCUACGAAUCGAAGCCCCAGUAAACGGCGGCCGUAACUAUAACGGUCCUAAGGUAGCGAAAUUCCUUGUCGGGUAAGUUCCGACCCGCACGAAAGGCGUAACGAUUUGGGCACUGUCUCAACGAGAGACUCGGUGAAAUCAUAGUACCUGUGAAGAUGCAGGUUACCCGCGACAGGACGGAAAGACCCCGUGGAGCUUUACUGUAGCCUGAUAUUGAAAUUCGGCACAGCUUGUACAGGAUAGGUAGGAGCCUUUGAAACGUGAGCGCUAGCUUACGUGGAGGCGCUGGUGGGAUACUACCCUAGCUGUGUUGGCUUUCUAACCCGCACCACUUAUCGUGGUGGGAGACAGUGUCAGGCGGGCAGUUUGACUGGGGCGGUCGCCUCCUAAAAGGUAACGGAGGCGCUCAAAGGUUCCCUCAGAAUGGUUGGAAAUCAUUCAUAGAGUGUAAAGGCAUAAGGGAGCUUGACUGCGAGACCUACAAGUCGAGCAGGGUCGAAAGACGGACUUAGUGAUCCGGUGGUUCCGCAUGGAAGGGCCAUCGCUCAACGGAUAAAAGCUACCCCGGGGAUAACAGGCUUAUCUCCCCCAAGAGUUCACAUCGACGGGGAGGUUUGGCACCUCGAUGUCGGCUCAUCGCAUCCUGGGGCUGUAGUCGGUCCCAAGGGUUGGGCUGUUCGCCCAUUAAAGCGGUACGCGAGCUGGGUUCAGAACGUCGUGAGACAGUUCGGUCCCUAUCCGUCGUGGGCGUAGGAAAUUUGAGAGGAGCUGUCCUUAGUACGAGAGGACCGGGAUGGACAUACCUCUGGUGUACCAGUUGUCGUGCCAACGGCAUAGCUGGGUAGCUAUGUGUGGACGGGAUAAGUGCUGAAAGCAUCUAAGCAUGAAGCCCCCCUCAAGAUGAGAUUUCCCAACUUCGGUUAUAAGAUCCCUCAAAGAUGAUGAGGUUAAUAGGUUCGAGGUGGAAGCAUGGUGACAUGUGGAGCUGACGAAUACUAAUCGAUCGAAGACUUAAUCAA